This 429-nucleotide ribosomal RNA is filed under the name Acidobacteriota bacterium. RNAcentral describes it as "Acidobacteria bacterium partial 16S ribosomal RNA". It matches the Rfam family "Bacterial small subunit ribosomal RNA", at positions 355 to 776 of the family's 1533-position model. The record is from RNAcentral. Lineage: Bacteria; Pseudomonadati; Acidobacteriota.
UGGGGAAUUUUGGACAAUGGGGGAAACCCUGAUCCAGCCAUCCCGCGUGUGCGAUGAAGGCCUCCGGGUUGUAAAGCACUUUUGGCAGGAAAGAAACGUCAUGGGUUAAUACCCCGUGAAACUGACGGUACCUGCAGAAUAAGCACCGGCUAACUACGUGCCAGCAGCCGCGGUAAUACGUAGGGUGCAAGCGUUAAUCGGAAUUACUGGGCGUAAAGCGUGCGCAGGCGGUUCGGAAAGAAAGAUGUGAAAUCCCAGAGCUCAACUUUGGAACUGCAUUUUUAACUACCGGGCUAGAGUGUGUCAGAGGGAGGUGGAAUUCCGCGUGUAGCAGUGAAAUGCGUAGAUAUGCGGAGGAACACCGAUGGCGAAGGCAGCCUCCUGAGAUAACACUGACGCUCAUGCAAGAAAGCGUGGGGAGCAAACAGG